Molecule: ribosomal RNA, 701 nt
Filed under: endophytic bacterium WL4A
Lineage: Bacteria
Description: bacterial SSU rRNA
Rfam family: Bacterial small subunit ribosomal RNA
Source: RNAcentral
GAACAGGAUUUGAUACCCUGGUAGUCCACGCCGUAAACGAUGUCGACUUGGAGGUUGUGCCCUUGAGGCGUGGCUUCCGGAGCUAACGCGUUAAGUCGACCGCCUGGGGAGUACGGCCGCAAGGUUAAAACUCAAAUGAAUUGACGGGGGCCCGCACAAGCGGUGGAGCAUGUGGUUUAAUUCGAUGCAACGCGAAGAACCUUACCUACUCUUGACAUCCAGAGAACUUAGCAGAGAUGCUUUGGUGCCUUCGGGAACUCUGAGACAGGUGCUGCAUGGCUGUCGUCAGCUCGUGUUGUGAAAUGUUGGGUUAAGUCCCGCAACGAGCGCAACCCUUAUCCUUUGUUGCCAGCGGUUAGGCCGGGAACUCAAAGGAGACUGCCAGUGAUAAACUGGAGGAAGGUGGGGAUGACGUCAAGUCAUCAUGGCCCUUACGAGUAGGGCUACACACGUGCUACAAUGGCGCAUACAAAGAGAAGCGACCUCGCGAGAGCAAGCGGACCUCAUAAAGUGCGUCGUAGUCCGGAUUGGAGUCUGCAACUCGACUCCAUGAAGUCGGAAUCGCUAGUAAUCGUAGAUCAGAAUGCUACGGUGAAUACGUUCCCGGGCCUUGUACACACCGCCCGUCACACCAUGGGAGUGGGUUGCAAAAGAAGUAGGUAGCUUAACCUUCGGGAGGGCGCUACCACUUUGAAUCUGGC